Molecule: long non-coding RNA, 2424 nt
Organism: Rhipicephalus sanguineus (brown dog tick)
Lineage: Eukaryota; Metazoa; Arthropoda; Arachnida; Ixodida; Ixodidae
Exons: 5
Source: RefSeq, a predicted model, not a curated record
CCUCGCUCACGACACUAGGCAAACCUUUCUAGCCACGAUAGUUCUGCGUUCGUGUGUGUGUCGUCGUGCCGAGUUUUGUUCAUACGGUCGACUUUUACCGCGCUGCCUCGCAUUGUGUGUUGUAUGUUGUGGUUACUGACGUUAAGCGCAAGUUCGUCACGCAGUGUUAUACGCGGUAGCUGGUAAAUAGUCACCAGAUGCCGGCCGUGCGACUCCAGUCUGCGACUGCUUUGUUCAGUGUGACCGACGGAGGCGAUUCAUAGUUUUGAAAAACACGUUCUUCAAAUGUUUCCGCACGUCAGUAGGGUGCCUUGAUGCGCGUUUUGUCCGCUCACAUCGAGGCACAGUACACGGCAGUGAGUAGCAGCGCUGCAAUCCUUUCUCGACGACGCGUUCUGUGGCCUUGGAAAAUGCCUUGACGCUCGGGGACGGCCGGUAGCUCGGCGAUUCCUCGCUUGGCGCACCAUUGAAAACCGGCGGUCAUCCAGCAGUGUACGCUGCCAGCGUAUUUUUAUUGCCAGAGGUAGCAAACAGCAGUGCCACGACAAACAGUGGAGUGCUGACCAUGCAGUCCAGAAGGUGGCUGAGGCAAGUAUGCUAUAGGAGGUGCUUAUUCAGGCAGAAGAAAUAAGCUUCUGUAGCCAACGUAAAGGAAGCAUCUUCAAAAAGCAGUGCUACAAGGAUGUGAGCAGCAGUUUCCCUUCAACGAACGGGUCAAAUUCAUGGAAGCCACAUGCCUGCUGCUUCUGGCCUACACAAACAUGCAGCCACCAUAGUAAAGUUCUUGCAAAGACAUUCUACACGAACUUGCCCAAAGGCAGAAGGAAGGCACGCACAGAUGGACGCACAGAAAUCAUGGGGCUGCCGUAGAAGCUGUGAAUGAGCAUUAACCUGUGAACGUACAGAAAGGAGCGAAGUGGAGCUGUCCAUGGGCCGUGCACACAGUUUCAUAAGCAGGCUUGCAACACUUUUGACAAAUAUGUUCCUGAAUACACCUGCCGAAGUGGCAUUUAAAGAAGCAUGUAGUAGUGUACUUCACUGUUUAUUUGGCAUGAAGCAGCAGGUAUGCUUCCGUCAUCAGCAAGUUCACACAGUACAGUGCAUCUACACAUGGCAUGCUACCCCCACAUCUACCAGCCCGGGAUGUGUAGCUUGAUUGUAAAUGUUUACUUUGACUUAACACAACAAUUAUUAACAAAAUGACAUGAAAGUUUUGCCACCUAUGCAGGCGACAUUCUCAGUAUACGCUGGCAAAUAUAAGCGGAGUUUGACCAGUCCAUUAGUCGCACAUUUCCUUGUAAACAUCUCGUAGAGGGCCACUGUUGUUGUUGCAAGCCAAUGCGCCGUGAUGAAUGAACCAUGAUUCCAAGAUUUUUUUUUUCCUCCGACCUUUGUGCACAAGGUAGCAUCGUCGAAUUGAUUAGGUCAAAGUUAUGCCUUGUCAUUCAGCAGCGUUCAACAAGCUCCGUCUUAGAGCACGUUGCAUGGGUGGUUUUCGCAACAUCCUCUUUGUGUUCUUUAACCUUCGAUCGCCUUCUUCAACCCAUUUCGUCUAUGCAAGUUGUGUCGCAAUCUCCACAUUGUACUUCGUAGAUGAUCCCACUCUAAUCUUCGGCGGUGUUUGUGUAUACCUUGUCCUUAGGACAUGUGUUCACAAAGCCCAAAGACCGCACACCUGCGGAUGAUUAGAGCAGGGUACUCUACAGAGUACGUUGUGGGGUUCACGACACCACUUACAUCAGCGAGUCGGGCAGGAAAAUGCCAAAGACGUUCAAAGAACACAAAGUGGGAAUGUUGCUAAAGCCACCCAUGGAGCGCAUUUUAAGACAGCUUGUUGAAUACUGCUAGACGACAGGUUAUAGCUUCGACCUUAACAAUGCGACGAUGCUGGCUCAGGAACGAAGAUGGAGGAAAACUUGGAAUUAUGGUUCAUGCGUCAGGAAGCAUCUGCUUGAAACAACAACCACAGACCCACACCGAACGUGUACGUGGACGUAUGUGGCUAGUGCACUGGUCGACCUCCGCUCACUUGUUGCCAGCAUAUACCGAGACUGCCACCUGCAUAGGUGGCAAAGCUUCUAUGGGAUUUUAUGGUGCAGUUGUGGUACAAAACCAUUAUUUUGCAUUAAGGCAAAUGUGCCGUAUUACAUUGGACAGUACGGGCAGACCAUUCUUUAGUAUCUUAACGUAGGAGGUACGUAAGAAGACCUUCUUUGAAGGAAAUUGUUGUAUUCUGGGUCACGGAACAGUGUUCUCAUUCAAACGACGUGACGGAGCGCUUUGUGCUAGCUGUGCUAACGAAGGCACUUCGUAAGAAUACUCCUUUUUAGAGAAAUCGUUUAAUUAGGAACACGUAAAAGUGCUCGGCAGCGCUAUACCUUCAGCUUUGUCCGUGUUUAGGGGCCAGAUUUUUUGCAGUGUAAG